CCCCAAGAAGAAGCAGAGGAUCUCCACGCUACUCUCCCCGUCACAGCAGAUCCCGUUCUCACAUAUCUGAAGAGAUGGAUUAAGAAUGCUUUGGAUUAAAGGAUUGUGGAGCACAUGUCAAUCAUUUUAGGAUUGUCAAAAGGAGGAUUGAGGAGGAUCAGAUCAAUAAUGGAGGCAAUGGUUUGGAUUGGAGAGGGCUCACUGGAUCCCAAUCCUUGGAGCUGGAUCAUUGGAUUCAAAUCAUAAUGUGGAUAGGAUAGGGAGGCUGAAUUACAAGGAUUCAUGGAGCGGGAUCAAAUUACCAGGAACAUAGGAGUGGAUUCCUGCCCCAACCAAACCGCAUUCGUGUGGAUAUUUUUUUUUAUUCAACUCAAUUGGCUAUUCCAAAGAUUUUUUUUUCCUAUUUUUGACGAUUGGAGCCCUUAAGAUGCACGAUGGAAUUUUUCAUUUUUUUGGUAAAAGGAGCAAAGCGAGGACCUGGAGAGGUACGCUGGAGCAAUCUCCUUGGAAGGAUUCAGCACGAGUAGAUGGAUGCUCAGGGAAGCAAAACUUCUUUAACAAGAGGAGACCUGAAGAAUUUGAUUUAACUAAACUUGGGAUUGGAGCGGGUUGCUCUCUGAGUGCAUACAGAGAGGAAAAGGUGUGAACUUUACGGAGGAGGAGUGAAGGAGUGCCUUACACCUGUAAACAGAGGGGGUUGCAUAGUGUYGUAUGUGAAAUACUGGAGCUUGGAUCCUGACACAGGAGAUCAAUGCCAAGCCAGUGGUUCUAAUCAAGUGCAUAAGGAGUUAAUGGACUGAAACACUAAUUUAAGGAGUGGUUCAGCUGACUCCCAAAGGAAGAUGGGGGAGUGUGUGUGCAAGCUGUAACGUUAAAGGUGUGAGCAAGGCUUCAAAAGGUCAAGCUUGGUCCUCCCAGCGUUCUGCAGAGCUCACAG
Molecule: long non-coding RNA, 937 nt
Filed under: Apteryx rowi (Okarito brown kiwi)
Lineage: Eukaryota; Metazoa; Chordata; Aves; Apterygiformes; Apterygidae
Description: lncRNA (ENSARWG00000007653.1)
Source: RNAcentral